Molecule: unclassified non-coding RNA, 253 nt
Filed under: uncultured Alphaproteobacteria bacterium
Lineage: Bacteria; Pseudomonadati; Pseudomonadota; Alphaproteobacteria
Description: contains 16S-23S intergenic spacer region
Rfam family: Bacterial small subunit ribosomal RNA
Source: RNAcentral
UACGAAGGGGGCAAGCGUUGUUCGGAUUUACUGGGCGUAAAGGGCGCGUAGGCGGAAGUGCAAGUCAGAGGUGAAAGCCCUGGGCUCAACCCGGGAAUUGCCUUUGAAACUGUGCAUCUUGAGUGCGGGAGAGGGUGGCGGAAUACCCAGUGUAGAGGUGAAAUUCGUAGAUAUUGGGUAGAACACCAGUGGCGAAGGCGGCCACCUGGCCCGCAACUGACGCUGAGGCGCGAAAGCGUGGGGAGCAAACAGG